GCUGGAUGAAAAUCACCCUGGCUUUGGCCAUAGCCAUGGAUGAGAUUCAGCACCUAGAGCCACCAGGAGCUUCAGCUCAUCUCCCACUGGACAAGCAGGAGCAAAAAGAAAACCAAAGAGUCUUCCAGC
Small nucleolar RNA from Ochotona curzoniae (black-lipped pika), 129 nucleotides. RefSeq annotates it as small nucleolar RNA ACA64. The transcript has a single exon. The record is from RefSeq and is a predicted model, not a curated record. Lineage: Eukaryota; Metazoa; Chordata; Mammalia; Lagomorpha; Ochotonidae.